UAGAGUCUGAUGUGCAAUCUUUUUUCAGAAAAGUGCAUCAUGGCCCCAUUCUAACUGUUUACAGUAGGGUGGCGGAAGAGCGUACGCGGUGAGACCCGAAAGAUGGUGAACUAUUCCUGAGCAGGACGAAGCCAGAGGAAACUCUGGUGGAAGUCCGAAGCGGUUCUGACGUGCAAAUCG
RNAcentral lists this ribosomal RNA (180 nucleotides) under Meloidogyne hapla. RNAcentral describes it as "partial large subunit ribosomal RNA". It matches the Rfam family "Eukaryotic large subunit ribosomal RNA", at positions 724 to 900 of the family's 3401-position model. Lineage: Eukaryota; Metazoa; Nematoda; Chromadorea; Rhabditida; Meloidogynidae. The record is from RNAcentral.